CUAUACAUGCAAGUCGUGCGGACCUUUUAAAAGCUUGCUUUUAAAAGGUUAGCGGCGGACGGGUGAGUAACACGUGGGCAACCUGCCUGUAAGACCGGGAUAACGCCGGGAAACCGGGGCUAAUACCGGAUAGUUUUUUCCUCCGCAUGGAGGAAAAAGGAAAGGCGGCUUCGGCUGCCACUUACAGAUGGGCCCGCGGCGCAUUAGCUAGUUGGUGGGGUAAUGGCCCACCAAGGCAACGAUGCGUAGCCGACCUGAGAGGGUGAUCGGCCACAUUGGGACUGAGACACGGCCCAAACUCCUACGGGAGGCAGCAGUAGGGAAUCUUCCGCAAUGGACGAAAGUCUGACGGAGCAACGCCGCGUGAGUGAAGAAGGCCUUCGGGUCGUAAAACUCUGUUGCCGGGGAAGAACAAGUGCCGUUCGAACAGGGCGGCGCCUUGACGGUACCCGGCCAGAAAGCCACGGCUAACUAC
Molecule: ribosomal RNA, 475 nt
Filed under: uncultured bacterium
Lineage: Bacteria
Description: bacterial SSU rRNA
Rfam family: Bacterial small subunit ribosomal RNA
Source: RNAcentral